AUGAUGUUGAUUAAUGAUGACUUGAUGAAGAUGGAGGCAUACUUUACCUGUGUCCUAGCCGUCCUCAGGUAAGAAAUGUUCAUAUUUUCCUCGUUCAGUAUUCUGCAAUAACCAAACCAUGCCCGUCUGAGUAUGUGCUUCAUCUUCUAAUUUUUCUUUUCUUAAUUCUUAUCCCCAGGACGGUGGCGGUGUGGUCCACUACGAGACGCAAGGUGAAGCUACGGACAAGUGUGGCGCUGGUGGUGGGCGUCGUUGUCUUUGUUUUAGCUAUCACUGCAGGUAAGGAUUGUACUCCCUAUGGUAUUCUCACCACAAAAUAUACGCCGCCGUUCUGAUAACUUCACAAAUUCUUGCUGUCCUACAAUACAUCCUGCCGGUGGUCAUCACACCUCGCCUGCUACUGCUCCAUGAUAUUCGUGGUAAGACGCAACAAGCGCCCCCUGGCCGUCACUCCAGACACGGCAGGGACAGGCCAGGUGAUGGACCAGGCCACGCAGUCCAUGCUGGUUUUCAUCAGCAACCUGCUACUGACCCCGUCGGAAUUUGUGCGCCCCUAUCUGCUUAAGUCUAAUCUUUCCCAUGGCAUUAUCUCCUUGGCCUUCUAUAUCAUUUUCUUCACACACUUUUUCCUUCAACCGCUGGUAUUUGUAUAUUUCAAGCUGCACCACUGGCAAUGCGUCCUGCAGGCACUCAAGUCCUGCCUGCAAUAGGUCACCUGCAGGCCGCCGUCUGUACCCCCGCACGCCACCACCAACCUCCCCCUCUACUCACUCCAAAAUGUUGCACAAGGAUCAUAGCUAAAGAUAUUGUGUGUUUACAUUCACCUAAUGAUGAUUUUUUUUUUUUUUUUUUUGAGCAAGUUGUCUUACAAUCAUCGGCCAGUGUUUUUUUGUUUUGUUUUUUUGUAAAGAAUAAACUUAAGUAUCUUAUCUGGAAGAUUUAGAUUAUCCAUUCACAUCCCUAAAAGUUCUGCA
This 974-nucleotide unclassified non-coding RNA is filed under the name Portunus trituberculatus (swimming crab). Its description in RNAcentral is "uncharacterized LOC123508582, transcript variant X1". Lineage: Eukaryota; Metazoa; Arthropoda; Malacostraca; Decapoda; Portunidae. The record is from RNAcentral.